Non-coding RNA from Cucumis melo (muskmelon), 108 nucleotides. Lineage: Eukaryota; Viridiplantae; Streptophyta; Magnoliopsida; Cucurbitales; Cucurbitaceae. The record is from Rfam.
GUCUCUCUUUGAGAACAUACUCAAUAAAAUUGAAACGAUACAAAGAAAAUUAGCAUGGGUUUUGCACCAAGAAUGACACGCACAAAUGAAGAAAUGACCCCAAAGAUU